Molecule: ribosomal RNA, 465 nt
Filed under: Vreelandella stevensii
Lineage: Bacteria; Pseudomonadati; Pseudomonadota; Gammaproteobacteria; Oceanospirillales; Halomonadaceae
Description: partial 16S ribosomal RNA
Rfam family: Bacterial small subunit ribosomal RNA
Source: RNAcentral
CCUACGGGGGGCUGCAGUGGGGAAUAUUGGACAAUGGGGGCAACCCUGAUCCAGCCAUGCCGCGUGUGUGAAGAAGGCCCUCGGGUUGUAAAGCACUUUCAGUGAGGAAGAACGCCUGGUGGUUAAUACCCAUCAGGAAAGACAUCACUCACAGAAGAAGCACCGGCUAACUCCGUGCCAGCAGCCGCGGUAAUACGGAGGGUGCGAGCGUUAAUCGGAAUUACUGGGCGUAAAGCGCGCGUAGGUGGCUUGAUAAGCCGGUUGUGAAAGCCCCGGGCUCAACCUGGGAACGGCAUCCGGAACUGUCAAGCUAGAGUGCAGGAGAGGAAGGUAGAAUUCCCGGUGUAGCGGUGAAAUGCGUAGAGAUCGGGAGGAAUGCCAGUGGCGAAGGCGGCCUUCUGGACUGACACUGACACUGAGGUGCGAAAGCGUGGGUAGCAAACAGGAUUAGAUACCCGGGUAGUC